CAUGGUUGUCGUCAGCUCGUGUCGUGAGAUGUUGGGUUUAAGUCCCGCAACGAGCGCAACCCUUGUCUUUAGUUACCAUCAUUCAGUUGGGGACUCUAGAGAGACUGCCGGUGAUAACCGGAGGAAGGUGGGGAUGACGUCAAAUCAUCAUGCCCCUUAUGGCCUGGGCUACAAACGUAAUACAAUGGCGUAUACAAAGGGAUGCGAAAGGGUGACCUGGAGCAAAACUCACAAAGUACGUCUCAGUUCAGAUUGGAGUCUGCAACUCGACUCCAUGAAGGCGGAAUCGCUAGUAAUCGCGGAUCAGCAUGCCGCGGUGAAUACGUUCUCGGGGUUU
RNAcentral lists this ribosomal RNA (337 nucleotides) under uncultured Erysipelothrix sp. RNAcentral describes it as "bacterial SSU rRNA". It matches the Rfam family "Bacterial small subunit ribosomal RNA", at positions 1044 to 1382 of the family's 1533-position model. Lineage: Bacteria; Bacillati; Bacillota; Erysipelotrichia; Erysipelotrichales; Erysipelotrichaceae. The record is from RNAcentral.